UAACGCGUGGAUAACCUGCCUCACACUGGGGGAUAACAGUUAGAAAUGACUGCUAAUACCGCAUAAGCGCACAGUACCGCAUGGUACAGUGUGAAAAGCUCCGGUGGUGUGAGAUGGAUCCGCGUCUGAUUAGCCAGUUGGCGGGGUAACGGCCCACCAAAGCGACGAUCAGUAGCCGACCUGAGAGGGUGACCGGCCACAUUGGGACUGAGACACGGCCCAA
RNAcentral lists this ribosomal RNA (223 nucleotides) under uncultured bacterium. RNAcentral describes it as "partial 16S ribosomal RNA". It matches the Rfam family "Bacterial small subunit ribosomal RNA", at positions 111 to 334 of the family's 1533-position model. The record is from RNAcentral.